ACGAACGCUGGCGGCGUGCUUAACACAUGCACGUCGAACGGAAAGGCCCUGCUUUUGUGGGGUGCUCGAGUGGCGAACGGGUGAGUAACACGUGAGUAACCUGCCCUUGACUUUGGGAUAACUUCAGGAAACUGGGGCUAAUACCGGAUAGGAGCUCCUGCUGCAUGGUGGGGGUUGGAAAGUUUCGGCGGUUGGGGAUGGACUCGCGGCUUAUCAGCUUGUUGGUGGGGUAGUGGCUUACCAAGGCUUUGACGGGUAGCCGGCCUGAGAGGGUGACCGGCCACAUUGGGACUGAGAUACGGCCCAGACUCCUACGGGAGGCAGCAGUGGGGAAUAUUGCACAAUGGGCGGAAGCCUGAUGCAGCAACGCCGCGUGCGGGAUGACGGCCUUCGGGAUGUAAACCGCUUUCGCCUGUGACGAAGCGUGAGUGACGGUAAUGGGUAAAGAAGCACCGGCUAACUACGUG
This 467-nucleotide ribosomal RNA is filed under the name uncultured bacterium. Its description in RNAcentral is "partial 16S ribosomal RNA". It matches the Rfam family "Bacterial small subunit ribosomal RNA", at positions 29 to 507 of the family's 1533-position model. The record is from RNAcentral.